AAGCCGUGUUUGUCAGGAACACCUGUAGCUGCCGCACCCGACCUCAGUCGGAUCGAUCGAUCUGCUGCCCCUCGCCCCGUCCUAACUCCAUAUAUAUACUCCCCACGUCCGGCUUGUCCGAUUUUUCGCCAAAAUCGCGGUCUCCCGUGCCCUAGGUUGAUUUCGCGAUCUCGCCGGAGUUCCACCGCUGCUGACCUCCGCCGUCAUCGUUUCCGUCGCCUACAGGGAGUACCGAACCGAGCGCAAGGACCUCGAUCCGAAGAUCACAGCCACCGCCCGAGCUCCAGCCACCCUCUGCCGUCAACCCCGUUCGCCACCGACGCCUCUGAGGACUUCUUCGAGACCGCAGCCGAGCUCCGCGCCCCAUACGCUACCCUCCGGAGUCUCGAGACCACCGGAGCAGGCGCCACCAUCGCCGCCCGAGCUGUCGCGCCGCUGUUUUGUCCAAGUCCGGCCGCCCCAGCCUCUGUUCCUCUCCGGAUUUUCAGAUGAUCAGUGAGAUACAGUAGGGUCGCGAGCCUUCACCCAACAUGUUCUCCAGUGGGCAUUGAUGGACUCGUCAUUUAUUAUGCUACCUUUCCGCUGUUAUUGUUGAAUAAAGUUAGCUAUGUGCUACUCAGUUUGUAAUACUUUAUGAAUUCUGGAUCACACGUUGUAGUAAAUGAUGCACUUGUUAUUUGAUAUUCAUA
Long non-coding RNA from Triticum aestivum (bread wheat), 689 nucleotides. RefSeq lists it as uncharacterized. The record is from RefSeq and is a predicted model, not a curated record. NCBI's taxonomy places the organism in Eukaryota, Viridiplantae, Streptophyta, Magnoliopsida, Poales, Poaceae. The transcript has 3 exons.